RNAcentral lists this ribosomal RNA (253 nucleotides) under uncultured bacterium. Its description in RNAcentral is "partial 16S ribosomal RNA". It matches the Rfam family "Bacterial small subunit ribosomal RNA", at positions 524 to 776 of the family's 1533-position model. The record is from RNAcentral.
UACGAAGGGGGCUAGCGUUGUUCGGAUUUACUGGGCGUAAAGGGCUCGUAGGUGGCCAACUAAGUCAGACGUGAAAUCCCUCGGCUUAACCGGGGAACUGCGUCUGAUACUGGAUGGCUAGAGUUUGGGAGAGGGAUGCGGAAUUCCAGGUGUAGCGGUGAAAUGCGUAGAUAUCUGGAGGAACACCGGUGGCGAAGGCGGCAUCCUGGACCAACACUGACGCUGAGGAGCGAAAGCCAGGGGAGCAAACGGG